GUGGGGAAUCUUGCGCAAUGGGCGCAAGCCUGAUCUAGCCAUGCCGCGUGAGUGAUGAAGGCCCUAGGGUUGUAAAGCUCUUUCAGCUGGGAAGAUAAUGACGGUACCAGCAGAAGAAGCCCCGGCUAACUCCGUGCCAGCAGCCGCGGUAAUACGGAGGGGGCUAGCGUUGUUCGGAAUUACUGGGCGUAAAGCGCGCGUAGGCGGACUGAAAAGUUGGGGGUGAAAUCCCGGGGCUCAACCUCGGAACUGCCUUCAAAACUAUCAGUCUGGAGUUCGAGAGAGGUGAGUGGAAUUCCGAGUGUAGAGGUGAAAUUCGUAGAUAUUCGGAGGAACACCAGUGGCGAAGGCGGCUCACUGGCUCGAUACUGACGCUGAGGUGCGAAAGCGUGGGGAGCAAACAGGAUUAGAAACCCCUGUAGUCC
This 425-nucleotide ribosomal RNA is filed under the name uncultured bacterium. Its description in RNAcentral is "partial 16S ribosomal RNA". It matches the Rfam family "Bacterial small subunit ribosomal RNA", at positions 354 to 796 of the family's 1533-position model. The record is from RNAcentral.